UACGGAGGGGGCCAGCGUUGUUCGGAAUUAUUGGGCGUAAAGGGCGCGUAGGCGGCGAGGUAAGUCAGACGUGAAAUCCCCCGGCUCAACCGGGGAAUUGCGUCUGAAACUGCCCUGCUUGAGGCCGGGAGAGGAGAGUGGAAUUCCCAGUGUAGCGGUGAAAUGCGUAGAUAUUGGGAGGAACACCGGUGGCGAAGGCGGCUCUCUGGACCGGUUCUGACGCUGAGGCGCGAAAGCUAGGGGAGCAAACAGG
RNAcentral lists this ribosomal RNA (253 nucleotides) under uncultured bacterium. RNAcentral describes it as "partial 16S ribosomal RNA". It matches the Rfam family "Bacterial small subunit ribosomal RNA", at positions 524 to 776 of the family's 1533-position model. The record is from RNAcentral.